ACGCGUGGAACCUUACCAGGUCUUGACAUCCUCUGACACUCCUAGAGAUAGGACGUUCCCCUUCGGGGGACAGAGUGACAGGUGGUGCAUGGUUGUCGUCAGCUCGUGUCGUGAGAUGUUGGGUUAAGUCCCGCAACGAGCGCAACCCUUGAUCUUAGUUGCCAUCAUUUAGUUGGGCACUCUAAGGAGACUGCCGGUGACAAACCGGAGGAAGGUGGGGAUGACGUCAAAUCAUCAUGCCCCUUAUGACCUGGGCUACACACGUGCUACAAUGGAUGGUACAAAGGGCUGCAAGACUGCGAAGUCAAGCCAAUCCCAUAAAACCAUUCUCAGUUCGGAUUGUAGGCUGCAACUCGCCUACAUGAAGCUGGAAUCGCUAGUAAUCGCGGAUCAGCAUGCCGCGGUGAAUACGUUCCCGGGCCUUGCACUCACCGCCCGU
This 439-nucleotide ribosomal RNA is filed under the name uncultured bacterium. Its description in RNAcentral is "bacterial SSU rRNA". It matches the Rfam family "Bacterial small subunit ribosomal RNA", at positions 959 to 1397 of the family's 1533-position model. The record is from RNAcentral.